RNAcentral lists this ribosomal RNA (301 nucleotides) under uncultured bacterium. RNAcentral describes it as "partial 16S ribosomal RNA". It matches the Rfam family "Bacterial small subunit ribosomal RNA", at positions 509 to 809 of the family's 1533-position model. The record is from RNAcentral.
CAGCAGCCGCGGUAAUACAGAGGGUGCGAGCGUUAAUCGGAUUUACUGGGCGUAAAGCGUGUGUAGGUUGUUGUUCAAGUCAGUUGUGAAAUCCCUGGGCUCAACCUGGGAACUGCUUCUGAGACUGAACGACUAGAGUACGGUAGAGGGUGGUGGAAUUUCCGGUGUAGCGGUGAAAUGCGUAGAUAUCGGAAGGAACAUCAAUGGCGAAGGCAGCCACCUGGGCCUGUACUGACACUGAGACACGAAAGCGUGGGGAUCAAACAGGAUUAGAUACCCGUGUAGUCCCUGUCUCUUAUAU